Molecule: ribosomal RNA, 253 nt
Filed under: uncultured bacterium
Lineage: Bacteria
Description: partial 16S ribosomal RNA
Rfam family: Bacterial small subunit ribosomal RNA
Source: RNAcentral
UACGUAGGGUGCAAGCGUUGUCCGGAAUUAUUGGGCGUAAAGAGCUCGUAGGCGGUCUGUCGCGUCGGCUGUGAAAACCUGGGGUUCAACCCCAGGCCUGCAGUCGAUACGGGCAGACUAGAGUCCGGCAGGGGAGACUGGAAUUCCUGGUGUAGCGGUGAAAUGCGCAGAUAUCAGGAGGAACACCGGUGGCGAAGGCGGGUCUCUGGGCCGGAACUGACGCUGAGGAGCGAAAGCGUGGGGAGCGAACAGG